RNAcentral lists this ribosomal RNA (448 nucleotides) under uncultured bacterium. RNAcentral's name for it is "bacterial SSU rRNA". It matches the Rfam family "Bacterial small subunit ribosomal RNA", at positions 335 to 800 of the family's 1533-position model. The record is from RNAcentral.
ACUCCUACGGGAGGCAGCAGUGGGGAAUCUUAGACAAUGGGGAAACCCGUAGCAUCUAGCCAUGCCGCGUGAGCGAUGAAGGCCUUAGGGUUGUAAAGCUCUUUCAGCGGGGAAGAUAAUGACGGUACCCGCAGAAGAAGCCCGCGUACAUCCGUGCCAGCAGCCGCGGUAAUACGGAGGGGCGUAGCGUUAAUCGGAAUUACUGGGCGUAAAGCGCGCGUAGGCGGCUUGAUAAGCCGGUUGUGAAAGCCCGGGCUCAACCUGGGAACGGCAUCCGGAACUGUCAGGCUAGAGUGCAGGAGAGGAAGGUAGAAUUCCCGGUGUAGCGGUGAAAUGCGUAGAGAUCGGGAGGAAUACCAGUGGCGAAGGCGGCCUUCUGGACUGACACUGACGCUGAGGUGCGAAAGCGUGGGUAGCAAACAGGAUUAGAUACCCUGGUAGGCUCUGC